Molecule: transfer RNA, 76 nt
Filed under: Armatimonadota bacterium
Lineage: Bacteria; Bacillati; Armatimonadota
Description: tRNA-Gln
Rfam family: tRNA
About the family: Transfer RNA (tRNA) molecules are approximately 80 nucleotides in length. Their secondary structure includes four short double-helical elements and three loops (D, anti-codon, and T loops).
Source: RNAcentral
UGGGGAAUGGCCAAAUUGGUAAGGCACCUGACUCUGGAUCAGGAAAUUGUAGGUUCGAGCCCUACUUCCCCAGCCA